This 27-nucleotide non-coding RNA is filed under the name Homo sapiens (human). Lineage: Eukaryota; Metazoa; Chordata; Mammalia; Primates; Hominidae. The record is from RNAcentral.
CGCGUGGACUAUGCCUUCAACACCAAU